This 263-nucleotide ribosomal RNA is filed under the name uncultured Eubacteriales bacterium. RNAcentral's name for it is "uncultured Clostridiales bacterium partial 16S ribosomal RNA". It matches the Rfam family "Bacterial small subunit ribosomal RNA", at positions 75 to 339 of the family's 1533-position model. Lineage: Bacteria; Bacillati; Bacillota; Clostridia; Eubacteriales. The record is from RNAcentral.
CCGAAGUGUCGAGUGGAGAGCGGCGGACGGGUGAGUAACGCGUGAGUAACCUGCCUACCAGAGGGGGAUAACACAUAGAAAUGUGUGCUAAUACCGCAUGAAACCAUAGUAUCGCAUGGUAUAAUGGUCAAAGAUUUAUCGCUGGUAGAUGGACUCGCGUCUGAUUAGCUAGUUGGAGGGGUAACGGCCCACCAAGGCGACGAUCAGUAGCCGAACUGAGAGGUUGAUCGGCCACAUUGGGACUGAGACACGGCCCAGACUCC